GCUUUGUCGUUAGUGUAGAUAUUUAAAUUUUAAUGUUUUUUGUUUAGUGAGAAUCCAAUCUGCUGACCUUGAAAAUACCGGCUUCUGAUUUAUCAAGAAAACGUUUGAUAUUUUAGAAAUUUAUAAUCUGCAAUUUUUUUUUUGGUAUAAUCAUCUGGUUGAUACUGAUCACAGCUGGUUGUCCAUAUGUGUUGUCCCGAGGUUAUCAUUCAUAACUUAAUAUUUGAAAAAAUUAUAUCAGAUGUGCGUACUAAUGUAUUAAUUCAAUGAAUAUUCCAAAUUUAUAAUUUGUUCAGCCAGACGCGCAUUUUGGUUGAAUAAGUCUCAUACGUUCCGCUCGAAUGAACACGAGUGAAAUGCCAAAAAAAAGUGAAGAGCACUAAAACCCGAAAAUUCGAAAAAUGUGUGCCAGCUACAAACACAGCAAUCUAUAAUCG
This 437-nucleotide long non-coding RNA is filed under the name Mytilus galloprovincialis (Mediterranean mussel). Lineage: Eukaryota; Metazoa; Mollusca; Bivalvia; Mytilida; Mytilidae. The record is from RNAcentral.